UACGAAGGGAGCUAGCGUUACUCGGAAUCACUGGGCGUAAAGCGUGCGUAGGCGGAAAUUCAAGUCAGGGGUGAAAUCCCAGAGCUUAACUCUGGAAUUGCCUUUGAAACUGAAUUUCUUGAGUAUGGUAGAGGAUGGUGGAAUUCUUAGUGUAGAGGUGAAAUUCGUAGAUAUUAAGAGGAACACCGGUGGCGAAGGCGGCCAUCUGGGCCAUUACUGACGCUGAGGCACGAAAGCGUGGGGAGCAAACAGG
This 253-nucleotide ribosomal RNA is filed under the name uncultured bacterium. RNAcentral's name for it is "partial 16S ribosomal RNA". It matches the Rfam family "Bacterial small subunit ribosomal RNA", at positions 524 to 776 of the family's 1533-position model. The record is from RNAcentral.